GUUUUAUUAAGUUAUGACGCAGAUUUAGUUUGACAGAAUUGAAAGACUUUGUUUUAAUCUUACUGUGUUCAAAUUUACACUUAAGCAUUGAUAUUUGUUCGAAAAUAACGGGUUAAUUCACGUUUAAUCAGGUUUCUACGGAGUUAUAUUUUAAAAAUUUCAAUAUUUCUGAGUACAGUGGUGAAGUUUUGGCCGAGUUUCUGUGUAUAUUGACGUGAAACAUAAAACCUAUUCAAUGCGGUUUACUCUACAGCGUAAAAUGUGGAAGAUCGUAGUUGUCGAAAUUGUAUAUAGCCUACACUUAAAUGUGCGAAAACAGAAAAAUUGGCAGCAGUUUCCUCAACAAAAGAAUGAGAUUUAUAAUUGUUUAAUAAUUAAUUGAAGUAUUUGAAGGAUAAAUUCACCAACGAAGACAUUUUAAUCUAAAUAUCUCGGCGAUGCCUCCCUAGAGGACUUUAAGUGUCACCAACGUGAAGAAAACCCAACCAUUGGCGUGAAUCCACGAUUACUGACUGUUCAGUGGGUUUAUCUACUCGGUCACUUGAAGGCUUCAUGGAUUUUUGAUGGAAACCAUUUGUAGUGAAUUUUAAAUGGCAAGAAUGGAAAUUUUCACACGGGCAACGCGUGUUACCAAGUUCUCGACCUCGUGCGAGAGAAUUUAUUCGAUCAACUCAUUAAUUACUUGUUAAGAGGGUUUGUAUUCUUCGGUUUCAAUUGUAUUAUUAUUUUUUUUUGUAGAAUGUUACUAAAUUGUAAUUAAUUAUUUUUACAAUUGCGCUGAAAGGCAGUUAAAAUUAUCGUAAUGUUUUCCCCAUCAGCAGAUGCAGCAGGUGCAUCUCUGCCAAGAUUUGGCAGUUAACGAGGUAUUGUUCGCAGCAAGAAACCGAAACUCCGCAGAAGUGUGUUACAUCCGUGCAGCAGAAUCGAGUAUUACCGAAAAGUCUAAACUGCGAGAAUAAAUUUACAAUAUGAAGCGGAGAAAAGAAAUUUACAGUUUUCUUCCUUCGAUCGAGCUACAGUCACCGGGAUUUCGAGAAAACAACGAUCAAAUCGAUCUCGAGAAGAACGAGACGGGCUUCGACGAAUUUCUCUUAAAUACCUUCGUCAUAUUAUUUUAAUGAACAAAAAUAAUCGAUUCAGAUUUUUUUAAAAAUGUUAUCGGAAGAGGGGAAAAUGCUCACACCAGGAAAACGCUACGAAUCCGAAUCUUUCCCCCCCCCCUUUCUUCCAUAUCUCGACUUUCAUCAUUGGAUGUGGUGAAUAGAUACGAAGAUUAGUUAGCAAAUUAAUUGAUUGUUCGGCCCUUCCACCACCAACGCCAUUCCAAUCGGUUCAUAAAAAUUUUCCACGCGAGGAACAUCUUAAUCAGGUCUGACACCCAAUAGGGUCGACUGGGAGGUUUCGCUCGCGUAGCGUGGUCAUUUCGUUCCUAUCGUUACACCAGAGUCGAUAGAUAUACUGGUUCCUUGAGCUGCCAAUAGCUCUAAUGCUACGGAAGUGGCGUAAUCAAUAUUUCUGCCACUUCGAGCGCCGCGAUCGCUUCGCGGCGUAAGUUUGGCUCGAGCGUAGGGAGAGUCAGCUGUAAACAUUCGAAAUUCUUUUAACAUAUGAAAUUUUCUCGUUUUUAACUCAGAUAUUGUUUUCGUCUUUUCUAAAGGACCGCUUAUAAAUACUGUUUUAAUUCGGGUUUGAACAUUAUUUAUUCGUAAAUGUCGUUAAUACUUCUAUUUCUAUUACAGGGGAUUAAAAGUCAGUAGAUUUAGUUCUCGGAUUUCAAAUAUAGGCCGUUAAAGGAAAAAGGAAAUUCCAACUAUUUAGGCAACAUAUUCAACAUAAUAACUUAGAGGUAAUUAGAGGAUGAUGAGUUGGAGGUUGACAAAUAAAAUAGGUAAAUGUGGGAUGGCAAGAGUUCAGAUGGUAUUAUUAGAUAAUGACAGUGGUAGUGAUGAGGCUAAAAGACAUGUUAGUGAUAUUUUAAACCUAUAUAAACAAAGGACAGGUGUAGUAAUCUUCAUUCAUAUUCUACUUUUGAUAUGAUAUAAAUUACCAAAAUAUGUAGAGUCAAUGAGAGUGUCAUAAGGAAUGUAAGUUCUCGUGUCAAAAAUACAAAACGAUUUCAUCCCAAAUACUAUUUCUCACUAUACCAAAUCAAGUGAAAUUGUAUAUCACACUUUAUGUAGUGUUAAAGUUAAUAAAUUAUUUAAAAAAUAGUUCGUCUUUAUCCGAAUUAAAUUUCUAUUGCUAUUUAAAUGUAUCGGAGGAUAAGCUAUGGUUUUCCUAAUUGUAUUGUUAUACAUAUGUAAUAAAACAAAACAGUAACACGCAAAUUUAUUUACUUAUUAUAUUAUUACCUACGUUAUACUCAGAACGUUCACAGUAUGUAGCAAUAAAAUAGUUUUGGACAGAUCUCUAUUUAAAAUCUGGAUGAAUUAUUAUUCACAUCCUCAUCUGUAAUUUCAAAUUAUCAUCUUAUUUUUUAUAACCAAAUAGAUAAAAAAAUAAAAAAUAAAAUAAAACUUCUCGCCGUAGUGCGACUCGAACGCCAGCUAUCGGCAAUCCGACACAUUAAUAGCUCGAGGACCAGUAUAUUUAUCGACUCCGGUUAUACUAGCAUCCGAGUGCCAACUUCCGGUUCUGCCGACAAAACGAAAAAUUUACACGAAUUAAGACUAGUUCGUACUUCGCCAGAAGGGAAAAGAGAAGCGCGUUCUGUUCGGUUUCCUGUUGUUCUUUUCCGGUAAGUGUUGGCAAUUAGAAGCGACUAAAGAGACGUGCGCACGCAUUUCGAUCUGGCGAUACGACGUAAAAGAAACGCGCAUGCGUUCUCAGUACCUGCAGUUUAAAACAUGGCGCCUCUCGUCUACUAUCGAAAGCGUGCUUUGAAGGAGUAUCCGAGUGCGAAAUUCUUAAAAAAAUGAAACGCAUUUUCGAAAUUUUAGGUAAGUUUUAAAUAUGUAUUGUACUGUACUUAAAAGUAAGAAGUUCGGGCCGAUUUAUACGUCUCUGGAACGGAAGGGAGAAGAGAGAACGGCACCGAAUAAGUUCGUUAUGCCAUUACUAGUCGCGUCGCGCAUUACUAGUGACGUACUUCCGUCCUAAAUCGGUAGCCCACAAUCUUCUGCGCCUUUAACACGGAGAUUUAAAAUCGAAACGAUUAUAAUUAAAUUGGAAUUUAUCUUCGACGAAUCGUUUAUUUAGCGUAAGUUAAUCAAAUCCGAACAGAUUAAAACCUGCCUAAAAUGUUUGGAAUCGCCUUCCUUAAUUUCUCUCAUACUUUUAGGAAGGCCUGACAUCUGGAUUUUGGACACUACAUCCUUGUUUGGCAAUACUUUGACUCAAAGUUUAGUUUGUUCACCUUGGUGCCCAAGUAAUAAAAUAACAUAAUAGGAAUGUUUGUUAUAUGUCGUUUAUAAUAGCAAUAAGAAAGCCUUUUUUCAUGUCUUCGUGGAUUUGACAAGACUCAAUGGUGCAGCUAGAUAGAGAAGAACGAGUCCUAACAUAUCUGGGUGAAACCAUGUAUGAAGAAUUUCUGAAGCUUCAGUCUAAACUGGAACCGAACACUCGGAGCUGCAAAUUAAUGCAGACUUAAAAGGAAUGAACAUUUUCUAUUUACAUUGACAUAGCUACGUGCCUACUAAAUUAGUGUCUGCUUCUAACCGACACCGGGCAUCUUUGGAUACUUAAACCCUACAUGAUCACAAUAUUUUCUUUUCUGGUAUCAAGGCUACAAAUUAGCAGAUUGCACAUUUGUUGCUUCCUAAAUGACAAUGAUGGAAUGAAAAUGGUUCCAUAUUUGUGCAAAGACUAAUAUGCAAAUUGUGCAUUCUGAUACAUAGGGGGAUACCUUUGGGUGCAGCACCCCUCAGGCCCCAUUAUCUCCUAGGAAAAGAAAA
Molecule: long non-coding RNA, 3893 nt
Organism: Centruroides sculpturatus (bark scorpion)
Lineage: Eukaryota; Metazoa; Arthropoda; Arachnida; Scorpiones; Buthidae
Exons: 10
Source: RefSeq, a predicted model, not a curated record